UACGAAGGGGGCUAGCGUUGUUCGGAAUUACUGGGCGUAAAGCGCACGUAGGCGGGUCUGUAAGUAGAGGGUGAAAUCCCAGGGCUCAACCCUGGAACUGCCUUCUAGACUGCAGGCCUCGAGGUCAGGAGAGGCGAGUGGAAUACCGAGUGUAGAGGUGAAAUUCGUAGAUAUUCGGUGGAACACCAGUGGCGAAGGCGACCCGCUGGACUGAUACUGACGCUGAGGAGCGAAAGCGUGGGGAGCGAACAGG
This 253-nucleotide ribosomal RNA is filed under the name uncultured bacterium. RNAcentral describes it as "partial 16S ribosomal RNA". It matches the Rfam family "Bacterial small subunit ribosomal RNA", at positions 524 to 776 of the family's 1533-position model. The record is from RNAcentral.